AUGGAUGUCGACUUGGCGAGCUGCAGCGGGAGCGAGGCGCUGUUCAAGUUCGCGGUGUUCGUCCUGGUGCAGGCGCUGGUGUACCUCAUCCUGUCCCAGUCCUCCGACGUGUUCUCCGGCGCCAGGAGCCUCGGCAGCUUCCGUCGCCCGGCGAGGUCUGUCAGCCUCCGCCGCAUGGUCACGCAGCUGCUCACGGAGAUGCCGGCGGGCGGCGAGCCGUCGUCUCCGGCCGCCAGGCAGCGGGACGGGGGAUCCGACGGUGCCGGCGUGGACGUUGACCUGGAGAUGGAGCUUAUGUUGAUUGGUUGCUCCUUUUCAUCGUGA
This 324-nucleotide ribosomal RNA is filed under the name Triticum aestivum (bread wheat). RNAcentral's name for it is "partial small subunit ribosomal RNA". Lineage: Eukaryota; Viridiplantae; Streptophyta; Magnoliopsida; Poales; Poaceae. The record is from RNAcentral.